This 374-nucleotide ribosomal RNA is filed under the name uncultured organism. RNAcentral's name for it is "partial 16S ribosomal RNA". It matches the Rfam family "Bacterial small subunit ribosomal RNA", at positions 527 to 896 of the family's 1533-position model. The record is from RNAcentral.
GUAGGUGGCAAGCGUUGUCCGGAAUUAUUGGGCGUAAAGCGCGCGCAGGUGGUUCUUUAAGUCUGAUGUGAAAGCCCCCGGCUCAACCGGGGAGGGUCAUUGGAAACUGGGGAACUUGAGUGCAGGAGAGGAAAGUGGAAUUCCACGUAUAGCGGUGAAAUGCGUAGAUAUGUGGAGGAACACCAGUGGCGAAGGCGACUUUCUGGCCUGUAACUGACACUGAGGCGCGAAAGCGUGGGGAGCAAACAGGGAUUAGAUACCCUGGUAGUCCACGCCGUAAACGAUGAGUGCUAAGUGUUGGGGGGGUUUCCGCCCCCUCAGUGCUGCAGCUAACGCAUUAAGCACUCCGCCCUGGGAGUACGGUCGCAAGACUG